Molecule: ribosomal RNA, 446 nt
Filed under: uncultured bacterium
Lineage: Bacteria
Description: partial 16S ribosomal RNA
Rfam family: Bacterial small subunit ribosomal RNA
Source: RNAcentral
CCUACGGUGCGCAGCAGUCGAGAAUCAUUCACAAUGGGGGAAACCCUGAUGGUGCGACGCCGCGUGGGGGAAUGAAGGUCUUCGGAUUGUAAACCCCUGUCAUGUGGGAGCAAAUUAAAAAGAUAGUACCACAAGAGGAAGAGACGGCUAACUCUGUGCCAGCAGCCGCGGUAAUACAGAGGUCUCAAGCGUUGUUCGGAAUCACUGGGCGUAAAGCGUGCGUAGGCUGUUUCGUAAGUCGUGUGUGAAAGGCGCGGGCUCAACCCGCGGACGGCACAUGAUACUGCGAGACUAGAGUAAUGGAGGGUGAACCGGAAUUCUCGGUGUAGCAGUGAAAUGCGUAGAUAUCGAGAGGAACACUCGUGGCGAAGGCGGGUUCCUGGACAUUAACUGACGCUGAGGCACGAAGGCCAGGGGAGCGAAAGGGAUUAGAUACCCCUGUAGUC